GACGAACCGUGCGAACGUUAUUCGGAAUCACUGGGCUUAAAGGGUGCGUAGGCGGGUUGCCAAGUCUGUGGUGAAAUCCUCCAGCUUAACUGGAGAACUGCCGUGGAUACUGGCGACCUCGAGGGGUGUAGGGGCUUGCGGAACUGUGCGUGGAGCGGUGAAAUGCGUAGAUAUCUGGAGGAACACCGGUGGCGAAGGCGGCAUCCUGGACCAAUAUUGACGCUGAGGAGCGAAAGCCAGGGGAGCAAACGGG
Molecule: ribosomal RNA, 253 nt
Filed under: uncultured bacterium
Lineage: Bacteria
Description: partial 16S ribosomal RNA
Rfam family: Bacterial small subunit ribosomal RNA
Source: RNAcentral